This 465-nucleotide ribosomal RNA is filed under the name Vreelandella stevensii. Its description in RNAcentral is "partial 16S ribosomal RNA". It matches the Rfam family "Bacterial small subunit ribosomal RNA", at positions 338 to 795 of the family's 1533-position model. Lineage: Bacteria; Pseudomonadati; Pseudomonadota; Gammaproteobacteria; Oceanospirillales; Halomonadaceae. The record is from RNAcentral.
CCUACGGGGGGCUGCAGUGGGGAAUAUUGGACAAUGGGGGCAACCCUGAGCCAGCCAUGCCGCGUGUGUGAAGAAGGCCCUCGGGUUGUAAAGCACUUUCAGUGAGGAAGAACGCCUGGUGGUUAAUACCCAUCAGGAAAGACAUCACUCACAGAAGAAGCACCGGCUAACUCCGUGCCAGCAGCCGCGGUAAUACGGAGGGUGCGAGCGUUAAUCGGAAUUACUGGGCGUAAAGCGCGCGUAGGUGGCUUGAUAAGCCGGUUGUGAAAGCCCCGGGCUCAACCUGGGAACGGCAUCCGGAACUGUCAAGCUAGAGUGCAGGAGAGGAAUGUAGAAUUCCCGGUGUAGCGGUGAAAUGCGUAGAGAUCGGGAGGAAUACCAGUGGCGAAGGCGGCCUUCUGGACUGACACUGACACUGAGGUGCGAAAGCGUGGGUAGCAAACAGGAUUAGAUACACUAGUAGUA